AACCUCCGCAAUGUGAGAAAUCGCGACGGGGGGAUCCCAAGUGCCAUUCUUAACGGGAUGGCUUUUCAUUAGUGUAAAAAGCUUUUGGAAUAAGAGCUGGGCAAGACCGGUGCCAGCCGCCGCGGUAACACCGGCAGCUCUAGUGGUAGCAAUUUUUAUUGGGCCUAAAGCGUCCGUAGCCGGUUUAAUAAGUCUCUGGUGAAAUCCUGUAGCUUAACUGUGGGAAUUGCUGGAGAUACUAUUAGACUUGAGACCGGGAGAGGUUAGAGGUACUCCCAGGGUAGAGGUGAAAUUCUGUAAUCCUGGGAGGACCGCCUGUUGCGAAGGCGUCUAACUGGAACGGUUCUGACGGUGAGGGACGAAAGUUAGGGGCGCGAACCGGAUUAGAUACCCGGGUAGUCCUAACUGUAAACGAUGCGGACUUGGUGUUGGGGUGGCUUUGAGCUGCUCCAGUGCGAAGGGAAGCUGUUAAGUCCGCCGCCUGGGAAGUACGGUCGCAAGACUGAAACUUAAAGGAAUG
This 520-nucleotide ribosomal RNA is filed under the name uncultured bacterium. RNAcentral's name for it is "bacterial SSU rRNA". It matches the Rfam family "Archaeal small subunit ribosomal RNA", at positions 345 to 866 of the family's 1478-position model. The record is from RNAcentral.